AGAGCAGGGAAAACGGGGCGGAGCAAAGUGUGUGUGCAGGAGAGGAGUCGAGCAGAGAGAGCUGCUUUUUCAUGAAACGGGAGUAAAGUAGUAAACUUACAGGAACAUAUACCACUACCAACGUUUGGAUCGAUAUCUGCAUCGAUCUGCACCCUUGUCUACUGGAUUGUAGCUGAGAUCAGCGUGAACCACGUGGGUCUCUGCUCCCUGAUCUGUUUCCUGUUUGGAAAGACUUCCGGCUUUAUCGCGGAGUUUCUAAAGCUGAGUAACAGGAGGAGGAGAGUCUGGUGGUGCAGCAGGAGAACAAUUUCAGCCAUUUGGACUCAGCUCAGCCACUACAGAGGAAACAAUGACUUCAACACAAAAGGACCAACAUGGAACAAGAAGUCAGCGCUCUCAGGAGGCCGACAAACCUCACAGAAGAAAGC
Molecule: long non-coding RNA, 428 nt
Organism: Oreochromis niloticus (Nile tilapia)
Lineage: Eukaryota; Metazoa; Chordata; Actinopteri; Cichliformes; Cichlidae
Exons: 3
Source: RefSeq, a predicted model, not a curated record